RNAcentral lists this ribosomal RNA (440 nucleotides) under uncultured bacterium. RNAcentral describes it as "partial 16S ribosomal RNA". It matches the Rfam family "Bacterial small subunit ribosomal RNA", at positions 338 to 795 of the family's 1533-position model. The record is from RNAcentral.
CCUACGGGAGGCAGCAGUGGGGAAUAUUGCACAAUGGGGGAAACCCUGAUGCAGCGACGCCGCGUGAGUGAAGAAGUAAUUCGUUACGUAAAGCUCUAUCAGCAGGGAAGAAAAUGACGGUACCUGAGUAAGAAGCAUUGGCUAACUACGUGUUAGCAGCUGCGGUAAUACGUAGGGGGCAAGCGUUAGCCGGAUUUACUGGGUGUAAAGGGAGCGUAGACGGUUGUGCAAGUCUGGAGUGAAAGGCGGGGGCUCAACCCGCGGACUGCUCUAGAAACUGUACAGCAGGAGUGCAGGAGAGGUGAGUGGAAUUCCAAGUGUAGCGGUGGAAUGCGUAGAUAUUAGGAGGAACACCAGUGGCGAAGGCGGCUUACUGGACUGUAACUGACGUUGAGGCUCGAAAGCAUGGGGAGCAAACAGGAUUAGAUACCCUGGUAGUC